This is a small nuclear RNA of Homo sapiens (human), 108 nucleotides long. The record is from Ensembl. NCBI's taxonomy places the organism in Eukaryota, Metazoa, Chordata, Mammalia, Primates, Hominidae.
GUGCUUGCUAUGGCAGCACAUAUACUAAAAUUGGAACCAUACAGAGAAGAUUAGCAUGGCCCCUGCAAAAAGAAAAAAAAAAAAAAACACCGGUUAUUACAGCUUGGU